UACGGAGGGUGCAAGCGUUGCUCGGAAUCACUGGGCGUAAAGGGUCCGCAGGCGGCCUGGCAAGUCGGAUGUGAAAGCCCGGGGCUCAACCCCGGAAUUGCAUUCGAAACUGCUUGGCUUGAGUACGGGAGAGGGAAGCGGAAUUCCUGGUGUAGAGGUGAAAUUCGUAGAUAUCAGGAGGAACACCUGUGGCGAAAGCGGCUUCCUGGCCCGAUACUGACGCUCAUGGACGAAAGCGUGGGGAGCAAACAGG
Molecule: unclassified non-coding RNA, 253 nt
Filed under: uncultured Pseudobdellovibrionaceae bacterium
Lineage: Bacteria; Pseudomonadati; Bdellovibrionota; Bdellovibrionia; Bdellovibrionales; Pseudobdellovibrionaceae
Description: uncultured Bdellovibrionaceae bacterium contains 16S-23S intergenic spacer region
Rfam family: Bacterial small subunit ribosomal RNA
Source: RNAcentral